AAAAGAUACUUUCAGAAGGUUCAGUAAUAUCAACAACCUUUUCCUCAUUGUUGGUCAUUGGUGAAUCAUCAACAAUAUUCAAUUGAUGAUUAACAAAGUUUGUUUCUGCCUCCAUUACUUUGUUCUUUUGAGACUCCUGGAAUAAAUUAGCCAGAUGCCUCGGCGUACGACAGGUACGCGACCAAUACCCUUUCAUCCCACACCUAAAAC
RNAcentral lists this long non-coding RNA (210 nucleotides) under Panax ginseng (ginseng). RNAcentral's name for it is "long non-coding RNA (PGIN_LNC010168)". The record is from RNAcentral. Lineage: Eukaryota; Viridiplantae; Streptophyta; Magnoliopsida; Apiales; Araliaceae.